This 253-nucleotide ribosomal RNA is filed under the name uncultured bacterium. RNAcentral describes it as "partial 16S ribosomal RNA". It matches the Rfam family "Bacterial small subunit ribosomal RNA", at positions 524 to 776 of the family's 1533-position model. The record is from RNAcentral.
UACAGAGGGUGCGAGCGUUAAUCGGAAUUACUGGGCGUAAAGCGUGCGCAGACGGUUAUCUAAGUCAGAUGUGAAAGCCCCGGGCUCAACCUGGGAAUUGCAUUUGAGACUGAAUAGCUAGGGUACGGAAGAGGGAAGCGGAAUUUCAGGUGUAGCAGUGAAAUGCGUAGAUAUCUGAAGGAACAUCAGUGGCGAAGGCGGCUUCCUGGUCCAGUACCGACGUUCAGGCACGAAAGCGUGGGGAGCAAACAGG